This 469-nucleotide ribosomal RNA is filed under the name uncultured bacterium. RNAcentral describes it as "partial 16S ribosomal RNA". It matches the Rfam family "Bacterial small subunit ribosomal RNA", at positions 28 to 507 of the family's 1533-position model. The record is from RNAcentral.
GACGAACGCUGGCGGCGUGCUUAACACAUGCAAGUCGAACGGAAAGGCCCUGCUUGCAGGGUGCUCGAGUGGCGAACGGGUGAGUAACACGUGGGUGAUCUGCCCCUUACUUUGGGAUAAGCCUGGGAAACUGGGUCUAAUACUGGAUAGGACCAUGCUGUAGGUGGUGUGGUGGAAAGAUUAGUUUCGGUAAGGGAUGAGCUCGCGGCCUAUCAGCUUGUUGGUGGGGUAAUGGCCUACCAAGGCGUCGACGGGUAGCCGGCCUGAGAGGGUGGACGGCAAGAUUGGGACUGAGAUGCGGCGCAGACUCCUACGGGAGGCAGCAGUGGGGAAUAUUGCACAAUGGGAGCAAGCCUGAUGCAGCGACGCUGCGUGGGGGAUGACGGUCUUCGGGUUGUAAACUCCUUUCAGCCAUGACGAAGCGCUUGUGGUGACGGUAGUGGUAGAAGAAGCACCGGCUAACUACGUG